Molecule: long non-coding RNA, 513 nt
Organism: Quercus lobata
Lineage: Eukaryota; Viridiplantae; Streptophyta; Magnoliopsida; Fagales; Fagaceae
Exons: 3
Source: RefSeq, a predicted model, not a curated record
CUAGGCGGGUUCAGAAUCACUAGUGCCUUUUAACCUUUUGUCUACUGACAAUGAAGCCAACCUUGACAAUUUAAUUUCUUCCUUGCUGAGCUGCCUCUCUUGCCACUUGAAGCAGUGGCUGUCUGCCUUCUUUUUUAGAUUUUACUGAGGUAUUUCUAUAGUUUACCUUACCUAUUGUGGCGAACACCCUUUCCCACAUUGCUAUUUAUAUUUUUGUUUAUAGGGGUUGAAAUUUGCUGGAAUAUCUGUCCUUCAAAUGCUUAUUCAUCUGCACUGCUUCUCUGUCUCCAUCUUGUUAUACUAUGGGGUCUAUGGUCUGCCCCAUCUGAAUAUCCUUAUGUGGACCAUAAAGCACACAAAGAGAAACGAAAGGAAAAGUAGAUUUAUACCCCCCUUAGCUGAAUUUUGAUUGUCUUUAAACUCUUACACAAUUUUUCCAUGACUGUAAAACAGCAGGUUGAGUUUUCUUUUCUGGCCAUAACUGGUUUCUUGUUCUGAGAUUGAAGAAUGUUC